GCAACAGCUCAGAUUUGGAAUCUGGCCUUCGGCCCGAGUUGUAAUCUGGAGAGGAUGCUUCUGGCGCGGUGCCUUCCGAGUUCCCUGGAACGGGACGCCGGAGAGGGUGAGAGCCCCGUACGGUUGGACACCUAGCCUCUGUGAAGCUCCUUCGACGAGUCGAGUAGUUUGGGAAUGCUGCUCAAAAUGGGAGGUAAAUUUCUUCUAAAGCUAAAUAUUGGCCAGAGACCGAUAGCGCACAA
This 242-nucleotide ribosomal RNA is filed under the name Leptographium sp. WIN(M) 524. RNAcentral's name for it is "partial large subunit ribosomal RNA". It matches the Rfam family "Eukaryotic large subunit ribosomal RNA", at positions 101 to 347 of the family's 3401-position model. The record is from RNAcentral. Lineage: Eukaryota; Fungi; Ascomycota; Sordariomycetes; Ophiostomatales; Ophiostomataceae.